Molecule: ribosomal RNA, 853 nt
Filed under: Gammarus pisinnus
Lineage: Eukaryota; Metazoa; Arthropoda; Malacostraca; Amphipoda; Gammaridae
Description: partial 16S ribosomal RNA
Rfam family: Bacterial large subunit ribosomal RNA (bases 564-853)
Source: RNAcentral
AGGAUAAGAAGAUAUACUAAUUGUACCUUUUGUAUCAGGGAAAUUUAAAAAUAAAAUAAGUUUAUUGCCGAAUUAACCAGAUCUUCUAUGGGUUUAGUUAUUAAUUGCAUCUAAUGGACAAAGUCGGUUAUGAGGUAAAAAGUCUACGGUGGUUAAUAUAUCUAUUUGUUUUUGUUAUAAAGGGACAAGCUUUUAAUAAUCUAAAAAAUAACAUGGUCAAAAAAAACUAGGCUUUAAAGUAGUCAAGUUAUCAUAUUGUUUAAAAUGAUUUUUUUAUAUGAGGGAGGUUAGAUUUAAAAAAACUAUAUCAAUAAUUAUUAAUUUAUAAAAAUAAUGAAUUUAUUGAAUAGUGAGUGAAAUCUUAAAAGAACUUAGGAUAUUUUAGAGAGUUUAACAAAAACAUUUUUAUGUGAAAGUAACAAAGUAAUACCUGCCCAAUGAUAAUUAAAUGGCUGCGGUAUUUUGACUGUGCUAAGGUAGCAUAAUCAAUUGUUUCUUAAUUGGUAACUGGAAUGAAAGGUUUAACUAUUAUAUCUAGUUUGUUAAGUUAAAUAGGAUAUUAAAGUCAAGGUAAUAAUUCUUUGAUGUUCUAGGGGACGAUAAGACCCUAGAAGCUUGAUAAAUUGAGUGUGCAUUGGUUGUAGUAUUAAAUUUGUUUAACUGGGGCGGUGGCAGUAAAUAAACUACUGUAAAUUCAAUAGAUCCUUAUAAUAGAGACAUUAUGUUAAAGUUACUCUAGGGUUAACAGUGUAAUGUACUUGGAGAGAUCUUAUUGAUAAGUACGGUUACAACCUCGAUGUUGAAUUAAGAAUUCUUAAUGGUGCAGUGAUCAUAGAAGAAGGUUUGUUCAACC